This is a long non-coding RNA of Suricata suricatta (meerkat), 429 nucleotides long. RefSeq lists it as uncharacterized. The record is from RefSeq and is a predicted model, not a curated record. The transcript is spliced from 3 exons. Lineage: Eukaryota; Metazoa; Chordata; Mammalia; Carnivora; Herpestidae.
ACAUGGAGUUGCUUCUGUGGAACUGGUUAUCUGCCAUGGCCUCAGCAAUCCAUAAAUCCAUGCAUGGAGAGGAUUCCCCAUGGUCAGAAGUCAACUUGUACAUCUAGUUAAAAUCCAAGCUCUUUCCAGCUGCUUAACCACUACUACUGGGAGCAUAAAUCAGUGCUAAGGUUUGGCUCCGCCUUAGCCUGAGAAGCAGUUUCCACAUAUACAACCGAUGCAUUCAUCGGUUGCUCCGAGCACCUCCGGAAAGAGAAGAUGUCAUACUUCUAUUCUGCAAUCCGUGUGGUGCAUUGCAGAUGUUGCUUUGACUCAUAAUAUCCUCUAGGUGGCGAUAUUUUCAAAGAAUCCAUGCCAACACCCCCACCUAAGAGAACUCAGUAUCAGCACUCCGUAUUUUACACUUUACCUUAGCUAUGAUUUUUUAAU